AUUGAACGCUGGCGGUAGGCCUAACACAUGCAAGUCGAACGGCAGCACAGUAUGCGCUUUCUCUUCCGGGUGGCGAGUGGCGGACGGGUGAGGAAUACAUCGGAAUCUACUUUUUCGUGGGGGAUAACGUCGGGAAACUUACGCUAAUACCGCAUACGACCUACGGGUGGAAGCAGGAGAUCUUCGGCCCUUGCGCGAUUGAAUGAGGCGAUGUCGGAUUAGCUAGUUGGCGGGGUAAAGGCCCACCAAGGCGACGAUCCGUAGCUGGUCUGAGAGGAUGAUCAGCCACACUGGAACUGAGACACGGUCCAGACUCCUACGGGAGGCAGCAGUGGGGAAUAUUGGACAAUGGGCGCAAGCCUGAUCCAGCCAUACCGCGUGCGUGAAGAAGGCCUUCGGGUUGUAAAGCCCUUUUGUUGGGAAAGAAAAGCAGCAGGUUAAUACCCCGCUGUUCUGACGGUACCCAAAGAAUAAGCACCGGCUAACUUCGUG
This 492-nucleotide ribosomal RNA is filed under the name uncultured bacterium. Its description in RNAcentral is "partial 16S ribosomal RNA". It matches the Rfam family "Bacterial small subunit ribosomal RNA", at positions 30 to 507 of the family's 1533-position model. The record is from RNAcentral.